ACAAACAAGUGUGCGUCCUAUUUGGUCUCUGUUGACAUUUGGUUACAGACUCAGUUGUUUCAGGUUUCAAGGUCUGAAAAUGCACGAGUAAUGAGGUCUACAGGCUUCCAGCUCAAUUCCAAAGAAAGGAUUAGAGGCCCAGUAACACAACACAGAGGCUGACCCUUGCAAGCAUCCUGGUGAAGGAGAUUUGUGAAACCAUGAAGCAGAAAUUGGUGGUGCGAUAAAGACCUCAAGAAGAUGGAAAUGACAGGAAUCUAGAUGCUCCUCUGAAGAAAGACACAGGCAUUGAGAAGAGUCAGUUUAGGAGAAGAGCAUCCAUUCCAGCUUUGAUCUAGAAGUUCCAACCCCCAUUGAGGCUUCGGCAACUGUCACGCCUGCAAGAUCUGGAUGGGCCAGCGCUCUCUCUGUUCUGGGACCCUUGACGGUGGAGGUUGACUGAGCAGAGCUCCAGAGAACACCGCUGGACUGCGAUACACCUUCCCCAGACCCCGCGACCCACCUAUCCCUUCAUUUGAGUGUUGGCAGAAUAAAGAUCCUGAAUAUCACAGAGUUAUCAAUGCUCCCUUAUGAAGUGCAUCAAAGCCCUAAAGGAAAUGUCACUCCUGAGGAAGCUGGCUAACCAGGACCCAGGGACCACAGAGCAUAGCAAAUACCUAUAAUUAACACGAGCUAUUUUUGUAGAAUACAGCCCUCUGCCCAUAACACUCACUGUCCUCAAUACAGCAACUGUGACUGCUUGCAAGAGACCUCAAGAUCAAGGGCCUUUUUAAUACUCUCUAACAAAAUAUAGUGGUGAGGAGGGUCGUUGGAACGCCAUCUGAGAUUCCAGCCACUUCCUUCUGUUCCUCCUAGCCAGCUGCAUGAUUCGGCACUAACUGCACAUUGCCUCAUGGUCUCGAAGAUGCUAGAAUGUGCUGACUGUGAAAUAGUAGCAAAAGGAAGAUCUCUACAACUAUGGGGAAGUCAUCCAUACUGGGAUGAGACUAUUCAGUGGUGUGAUUGCUCUGAGAUCUACUAUGCUCCUGUAAGCAAUCUAUUACCUGUGCUCUGUUAAGUAAUCCCAGUAAAUUUAUUGGCAUUCUAAGGCUAAACACCGAUGGAAUCAUACUUUGCAUUUUGGUUGGUGUCCUAUCCAAGGGGAGCAGAAGGAGCAGAGAGUUAACAUAAUAGCUAUCCACUGGGGAAAUAAAUAUUUUGAUUUAGCAAUAACUCUUGUCUCUUUACAUUUUUUUCUUUUCAUUUUUUUUUUUUUGGUUAUUCCCUAUGUAUCAAACCCUGGACACAGUGUUAUUGAAGUAGGUACUAUACAAUUGCUUAUAUCUGGUAUUUUCUAUUUAAAUACAACUCAGAAUGUUUCAGCAUAGCAUACUAUUACAAGAUAGUUUUGUAAAAAGUUUAAAACUACUAUAAAAUGCUCAUUGUAAAAUAUAGAUAAUUCCUGCAUUGGUAGUGAGAUUUUAAUGUUAAAGAAAAAAUUUGUGUUUACUAUAAAUAGUAUUUA
Molecule: long non-coding RNA, 1504 nt
Organism: Peromyscus californicus insignis
Lineage: Eukaryota; Metazoa; Chordata; Mammalia; Rodentia; Cricetidae
Exons: 4
Source: RefSeq, a predicted model, not a curated record